Long non-coding RNA from Lolium rigidum, 1173 nucleotides. RefSeq lists it as uncharacterized. The transcript is spliced from 3 exons. Lineage: Eukaryota; Viridiplantae; Streptophyta; Magnoliopsida; Poales; Poaceae. The record is from RefSeq and is a predicted model, not a curated record.
CGGACCCAACACUGCUCCGCCCGCCCCCACUGCCCCGCAUCAGCUACUUGGUGGGCUUUGAUGGCAAGGCUUGUUGCUGUUGUUAUUUACUUAUCCCAUCAGAAUUUUUUGGUUGAAACCAUACUCCGUUUAGGUAGAAUUUGUGGACCUAUUAGUCUACAGCCUAUGGUACUCACUUUAUAGGGUAAAUUAGUUGAUUUAGAAUUUGUUCUACAACAACCCGAGAAGCUCGUUUUUACAUGACGCCAGUUAAUAGUGUCUCAAAGCGUCGAAGUUUCAAACGGGUUUAAUCAGAAUGAAUACUGAAAUUUAUGGCGAGUUGCAUUAUGAAUCAUGUUCUUGCUGGUCAAACUAAUGUUCGUACUUGAUUUGAGAUGACCAUCUUUUGGUUAAAACCACAAUCCUUUUAUGUUCCAUAUUUUUGCAAUUGGUACUAUCAACAUCAAUUAGGGCUCCUUCAUUACUGAUGGUUAUGUUUUCAGUCACAUUUUUCUGGAUAUUUUUUUAUUAUGUGGCACCAGAGCUGCGUCGUAAUUAUUGUUUGUGAUUUAAAUCAUCCCAACUGUGGUGAGAGGCUGCUUCCGAGAUGUAAUUUCCAUUUUUCAUCAUGUAGCUGUGUCAGUGUGCUUCCUUGCUGAUUUCAGUGGUACGUAACCCUUGACUGGCGCUGGCUACUGUAUUUUCCCGCGAUAUUCUUCAGCACCACCCUAUUUCAACCAAUUUGGAUGAAGCAAUGCUGAUGACACUGGACAUGUGCCCAGUCUUUGGGAGGUGUCUCAGCAACUUUGAAUGCUGGGCUCCAAAAGACGGUGGCCGGGAAUAGCUCCCCUAUUUGCAUUCUCCUGCGUUUGAUGAGACGCCAAAUCAUCAUACACAUGGCACUGGAAUCUUGGCACAUCAGCAGGAGAGCCUCCAUCUGUUGUUUGACAGAGUCGAGGUAGUUGUGCCCUUUUUCUUUAUCUUAUGUUCAACAUUUUUACACACUCGUAGACUUGAGGGCAUUGAUUUCUUCUUGCCCUUGUUGUACAUGUUGACAACAUAGCUGAAAACUUUUCUUUUAAGUUCGUCCCUGUCUUGCAUAGCUUUCUCAUAUAAACUAAAAAAUGCAAAGUCCCCCCUAGAUAAUUCCUGUGGAUCAUUCAGAAAAAAGUUCGAGCGCCACUACGAUGGCGA